Molecule: ribosomal RNA, 301 nt
Filed under: uncultured bacterium
Lineage: Bacteria
Description: partial 16S ribosomal RNA
Rfam family: Bacterial small subunit ribosomal RNA
Source: RNAcentral
CAGUCGCCGCGGUAAUACGAAGGGGGCUAGCGUUGUUCGGAUUUACUGGGCGUAAAGGGCAUGUAGGCGGACUGAUAAGUCAGGGGUGAAAUCCCAAGGCUCAACCUUGGAACUGCCUUUGAUACUGUUUGUCUUGAGUUCGAGAGAGGUAAGUGGAACUGCGAGUGUAGAGGUGAAAUUCGUAGAUAUUCGCAAGAACACCAGUGGCGAAGGCGGCUUACUGGCUCGAAACUGACGCUGAGGCGCGAAAGCGUGGGGAGCAAACAGGAUUAGAUACCCCGGUAGUCCCUGUCUCUUAUAU